CACAACAAUAAGCGGAGGAAAAGAAACUAACAAGGAUUCCCCUAGUAACUGCGAGUGAAGCGGGAAAAGCUCAAAUUUAAAAUCUGGCUUAGCUUCGCCGCCCGAGUUGUAAUCUAGAGAAGCAUUAUCAGCGCUCGCGGCGUGUACAAGUGUCCUGGAAUGGACCAUCAUAGAGGGUGACAAUCCCGUCUUUGACACGGCUGCCUUUAGUGCUAUUGAUGUGCUCUCAACGAGUCGAGUUGUUUGGGAAUGCAGCUCUAAAUGGGUGGUAAGUUCCAUCUAAAGCUAAAUAUUGGCGAGAGACCGAUAGCGAACAAGUACCGUGAGGGAAAGAUGAAAAGAACUUUGGAAAGAGAGUUAAACAGUACGUGAAAUUGCUGAAAGGGAAACGCUUGAAGUCGGUCGCGUUGGCUGGGUAAAUUCGAGAAAUCAACCUUGCUUUCUUGAAAGCUUGGCUUAUUUCCCAGCUGACGGGCCAGCAUCAGUUUUGACCGGUGGAUAAAGGCCAAGGGAAUGUGGCACCUCUUGGGGUGUGUUAUAGCCCUCGGUCAUAUACAUCGGUUGGGACUGAGGAACUCAGCACUUGUUGCUUAGGAUGCUGGCAUAAAGGCUUUAAGCGACCCGUCUUGAAACACGGACCAAGGAGUCUAACAUGCCCGCGAGUGUUUGGGUGGAAAACCCGAGCGCGCAAUGAAAGUGAAAGUUGAGAUCCCUGUCAUGGGGAGCAUCAAUGCCUGGACCAGAGCUUUUGUGAUGGAUCCACGGUAGAGCGUGUAUGUUGGGACCCGAAAGAUGGUGAACUAUGCCUGAAUAGGGUGAAGCCAGAGGAAACUCUGGUGGAGGCUUGUAGCGAUUCUGACGUGCAAAUCGAUCGUCAAAUUUGGGUAUAGGGGCGAAAGACUAAUCGAACCAUCUAUGCG
RNAcentral lists this ribosomal RNA (920 nucleotides) under Termitomyces intermedius. RNAcentral describes it as "eukaryotic LSU rRNA". It matches the Rfam family "Eukaryotic large subunit ribosomal RNA", at positions 39 to 950 of the family's 3401-position model. Lineage: Eukaryota; Fungi; Basidiomycota; Agaricomycetes; Agaricales; Lyophyllaceae. The record is from RNAcentral.